Molecule: transfer RNA, 73 nt
Filed under: Phycisphaerae bacterium
Lineage: Bacteria; Pseudomonadati; Planctomycetota; Phycisphaerae
Description: tRNA-Thr
Rfam family: tRNA
About the family: Transfer RNA (tRNA) molecules are approximately 80 nucleotides in length. Their secondary structure includes four short double-helical elements and three loops (D, anti-codon, and T loops). Further hydrogen bonds mediate the characteristic L-shaped molecular structure. tRNAs have two regions of fundamental functional importance: the anti-codon, which is responsible for specific mRNA codon recognition, and the 3' end, to which the tRNAs corresponding amino acid is attached (by aminoacyl-tRNA synthetases). tRNAs cope with the degeneracy of the genetic code in two manners: having more than one tRNA (with a specific anti-codon) for a particular amino acid; and 'wobble' base-pairing, i.e. permitting non-standard base-pairing at the 3rd anti-codon position.
Source: RNAcentral
GCCGCCUUAGCUCAAUUGGCAGAGCAGCGGUUUUGUAAACCGCAGGUUUCCGGUUCGACCCCGGAAGGCGGCU